This is a long non-coding RNA of Arachis stenosperma, 610 nucleotides long. RefSeq lists it as uncharacterized. The transcript is spliced from 5 exons. The record is from RefSeq and is a predicted model, not a curated record. Lineage: Eukaryota; Viridiplantae; Streptophyta; Magnoliopsida; Fabales; Fabaceae.
UAGUAGGUCUGCAUAUAAAAUCUAUGGGUAAUGACACCACUGUAACGUCGUCAUCCCUCUAGACAUCGCUGCUUCUGAAUCCCCUGUCACUGGUUUUCUGCUUCUAAAUUUCCUGUCACUGGUUCUCUGCCUCCUCAUUGUGGCUCAACCUCUCGUUAGCCUAAUCUAAAUAAGUUUGUAUCCCUUGGAAGGCCAGCGUGGAAGGAAGCUUGUGCUACUCUUCAAAAGCUUUUUUCAGGUAGGUUCUUUCAACCAAAGCACUCUAGCUUCUCAAGCAAAGAACAUGCCUUUGCUCAUUGGGUUCAAAUCAGAACUUUUAUAGCAUGAAGUAUAUACUGUCUUUAAAUUCGCCAGACAAGAUAAAGAUCAGAUUUAAGAUUCUUUGUAGUUCUUUAUGUGGAGCAGUUACCAUUAAAUCCAAGAGAGUCCACUCAAGCUGGGUUACCACACCAACUUUGUUGAAGAAAAAUGAAGAAAUUGUCACCCUUAGGCUAUAGUAUUUUUGUAUUUUGAAAAAUGGUGUUGAUAUAAGUAAAAGUAGUUAUGACCUAAACUAGUAUUAUGUUAUUUUGCAAUGAUGAUAUAUUGUGAUUGUGGAUCUUACAACAAU